This 506-nucleotide ribosomal RNA is filed under the name uncultured bacterium. RNAcentral describes it as "partial 16S ribosomal RNA". It matches the Rfam family "Bacterial small subunit ribosomal RNA", at positions 29 to 523 of the family's 1533-position model. The record is from RNAcentral.
AUUGAACGCUGGCGGCAGGCCUAACACAUGCAAGUCGAGCGGCAGCGGAAAGUAGCUUGCUACUUUGCCGGCGAGCGGCGGACGGGUGAGUAAUGUCUGGGAAACUGCCUGAUGGAGGGGGAUAACUACUGGAAACGGUAGCUAAUACCGCAUAACGUCGCAAGACCAAAGAGGGGGACCUUCGCGCCUCGUGCCAUCAGAUGCGCCCAGAUGUGGAUUAGCUAGUAGGGGGGGUAAGGGCUCACCUAGGCGACGAUCCAGAGCGGGUCUGAGGGGAGGACCAGCCACACUGAAACUGGGACACGUUCAGACCUCCUCCGGGGGUCCGCAGUGGGGAAAAUGGCAAAAUGGGCGAAGGCCUGAGGCGGCCAUGCCGGGUUUAUGAAGAAGGCCUUGGGGUUGUAAAGUACUUUCAGCGGGGAGAAAGGCAUGUUGUUAAUAACCACCGCGAUUGACGUUACCCGCAGAAGAAGCACCGGCUAACUCCGUGCCAGCAGCCGCAGUAA